Molecule: ribosomal RNA, 588 nt
Filed under: Triticum aestivum (bread wheat)
Lineage: Eukaryota; Viridiplantae; Streptophyta; Magnoliopsida; Poales; Poaceae
Description: partial small subunit ribosomal RNA
Source: RNAcentral
AUGGCGAGCAUGGAGGUCGCAAAGCCUGGGUCGUCCAAGCGCCUGUCCCCGAAGGGGAGUUUCAGGCUGAGCCUGCUCGCUUGCGGCCAGUGCAAGGCCACCACCGUGUCGCCCCCGGGCUCGCCCACCGGCGCCGGCGCGAGGUCGCUGUCGUCCUCGGCGUCGUCCUCCGCGGGGACGUCCCGCUCCCGCGGCCGCGAGCGCGACCGCCAGGCGGAGCUGCGGGAGAUCUUCCGCCACUUCGACCGCGACAUGGACGGCCGGAUCUCGGGCCGGGAGCUCGGCGAGUUCUUCGCGUCCAUGGGGGACGGCGGCGCAAAAGCCGCGAUGGAGCUGGACGCGGCCAGCUCCGGCGGCGCGGAAGGGCGGGGAGGAGGAGGAGCGCGAGGACCUGCGCGCGCGUUCGAGGCCUUCGAGGCGGUCAAGGGCUCCGGCCGGAUCACGCCGCGCGGCCUGCAGCGCGUGCUCAGCCAGCUCGGCGACGACCCGUCCGUCGCCGAGUGCGAGGCCAUGAUACGCGCCUACGACGACGACGGCGACGGCGAGCUUGAUUUCCACGAUUUCCACCGCAUGAUGAGCCAUGACUAG